RNA transcript from Populus nigra (black poplar), 1883 nucleotides. It is a transcript of the gene named actin-related protein 2/3 complex subunit 1A-like, with no coding region annotated. The record is from RefSeq and is a predicted model, not a curated record. NCBI's taxonomy places the organism in Eukaryota, Viridiplantae, Streptophyta, Magnoliopsida, Malpighiales, Salicaceae. The transcript is spliced from 14 exons.
GAGAAUUGAAGCUGAAAUGAAAGUCGAGGGAGCUACCUGACACAAACCAAACACCCGGGAGAAAUUUAGACACCCCACAAACAUGGGGAUGCCGGGGGCAAAUUUAAAUGAUUAAAUCUACCAAAAGACGAAGAAGAGUAAAGAACAAACAAAGUGCAGGGCAAGACUACUGGAUGAUUCAAAGGACAACACCACGUCUCUGAUCUCCCUGCUAUAAAGCUGGAUCUGAAAAUUGCAAUUCAGAUCCUUUCUCAGUUGUUUGAAAUUUAUUCAACCCAAUCUUUUUCUCUACAUAAUACAAAGAGAGAAUCGAAAAAGUAAAUGGCAGCCGUUGAAGUUAAUCAGUUCGCUCAGUGCAUCACUUGCCACGCUUGGAGCGCGGAUCGAUCUAUGAUUGCAUUUUGUCCAAACAACAAUGAAGUUCACAUAUAUAGAUUGUCCCAAGACAAGUGGGAGAAGGUCCAUGUUCUUCAAAAGCAUGACCAGAUUGUUUGUGGGAUAGAUUGGAGUGCGAGAUCAAACAGAAUUGUUACUGCAUCUCAUGAUCGAAAUUCAUAUGUCUGGAACCAAGAAGGAUCAGAAUGGGUACCGACCCUUGUUAUACUCAGGCUAAACCGCGCUGCACUUUGUGUGCAGUGGAGCCCAAAAGAGAACAAGUUCGCUGUUGGAAGUGGGGCUAAAACUGUUUGUAUAUGCUACUAUGAGCAAGACAACAACUGGUGGGUCAGUAAACUUAUCAGGAAAAGACAUGAUUCCUCGGUGACAAGUGUUGCCUGGCAUCCUAAUAAUAUUCUUCUUGCGACGACAUCUACAGAUGGAAAAUGUCGAGUGUUUUCCACUUUUAUUAAAGGUGUUGAUACAAGGGAUUCCAAAGCAGGCUCUGUCUCAGAUUCAAAAUUUGGAGAGCAAAUUGUUCAGCUUGAUCUCUCGUUUUCCUGGGCAUUUGGUGUGAAGUGGUCGCCUAGUGGCAAUACCUUGGCUUACGUAGGACAUAAUUCCAUGAUUUAUUUUGUUGAUGAUGUUGGUCCAUCUCCAUUGGCACAGAAUGUUGCAUUUCGCGAUUUACCUCUCCGUGAUGUCUUAUUUGUUUCUGAGAAAAUGGUCAUAGGAGUGGGAUUCGACUGCAACCCUAUGGUUUUUGCAGCAGAUGAAAGAGGAAUAUGGAGCUUUAUCAGGUUCCUUGGUGAAAGAAAAUCAACACUUUCAGGUUCAAGAUACAGUUCACAGAUUUUCCCAUUUUACAACUGGAUGGAGCUGUGAUAGAUUACCAUAUGGUUUCAAGACAUGUACAGGACUUCAAUAUGCCACUUCUGAAGUUAUUAUAUACUUUAGUUUGAGUUGCUCAUAAACACAUUAGCUACUGCUUUUUUGCAAACUAGCAAGAUGCGAAAAUGGAUUGCUCAGAGAUGUGUCACAAGGCAGUCAGCCUGAUGAAGUGAAAAUUCAAUAUCCCAAUUUUUUUAGGAUCUCGACUUUUUUAUUUCUGUCGUGGCCAUUUCAGCCAAAUUUCAAACUUCUUGGUCCUCCUUACAACUGGUUUUUAUAUGUUCUAUGCCUUAAGCUUAUUCGUACGGUUACUUGGUAGAAGCAGGUGUUACAUUAGAUCACUAAAGUGGAAGUACAUUUAUAGAAUAUCAGGUGCUGUUUUCCUAUUUUUGUAAUUGUCUUCGGGCUUUACACAUGGUCAAUAAAACUUUCUAACAGCAGACUGGCUUUUCCACUCUCUUUGGCAGUUUUCUGAAGCAUUUGGAAAAUUUUAUGGCCAAUCGAAGUAUGGAGCGAGCAAUGAUGGCAUUGAACCUUCAAGGUCACGUGGAGGCGUUCACGAGAAUUGCAUAAGUUGUAUUAUGUCUCUUACAGAAUCAGGGAGUUCUAGAAAAACA